This is a long non-coding RNA of Lynx canadensis (Canada lynx), 620 nucleotides long. RefSeq lists it as uncharacterized. The transcript is spliced from 2 exons. NCBI's taxonomy places the organism in Eukaryota, Metazoa, Chordata, Mammalia, Carnivora, Felidae. The record is from RefSeq and is a predicted model, not a curated record.
UACACUCCAUGUGGGGCUUGAACUCACAACCCUGAGAUCAAGAAUCACACGCUACCAAGCGAGCCAGCCAAGUGUCCUGCACUUUUUUCAUUGAGCAUCAUUUUUACAUAAAAGAGCAACCGACAAACUGGAGAGUCAGACUUGGGUAAUCGGCAAAUAUUUUCCUGGAAAUGAGCAAAGUGAGCUUUUCAUUUCAAGAAAAACAACUAAAAGCGUUUGUUGGCAAAGAUAAAAUUAGAACUCUAAAGAGAAAAUUAGGAUUUUGGAAAACUUACAUCUGCCUAGGCAAGCAUGCCAGCUUCUCAAUGCUUAAAGACAUUUUUGAUGAGACCAGUCGUAAUUUUUUUAAAUGUGAUUUUUGUGAUAUCAUCUAAUGAAUUGUGCCAACAUUUUGAAGAUAUGCAUAACUCAGUGAAGCAAUACUUUCUAAACAAAAGCUAUGUGUCUGUGUGAAGCUGGAUUUCCUACAAGCAGUUCAAACAAAAGAGCCUAACAUGACAGAUUAAAUGUAGAAACAGACAUAAGAAUCAACUUGUCUUCUAGUUAGCCAGAUAUUAGAGAUUUACAAAAAUGUAAGUGCCACUUACUACAUUGUUUUAUAAAAUAUUAUUUUCAUAAAA